UUUCUGAAGGGUUUGAUCCUGGCUCAGAGUGAACGCUGGCGGCGUGGAUUAGGCAUGCAAGUCGAGGGACGAAGUCCCCGCAAGGGGACGGAAACCGGCGAACGGGCGAGUAAUGCACACUCAAUCUGCCCUGAGGACGGGGAUAGCCCUGGGAAACUGGGGGUAAUACCCGAUAGGCUCACGAGAAGGCAUCUUUUCGGGAGUAAACGGUAGCAGGUUUCCUGCCUCUGCCUCAGGAGGAGAGUGUGUCCCAUCAGGUAGUUGGUGAGGUAACGGCUCACCAAGCCGACGACGGGUAGGUGGCCUGAGAGGGUGGUCACCCGCAUCGGGACUGAGACACUGCCCGGACUCCUACGGGAGGCUGCAGUCGAGAAUCUUCCGCAAUGCGCGCAAGCGUGACGGAGCGACGCCGCGUGCGGGAAGAAGGCCUUCGGGUCGUAAACCGCUGUCAGGGAAUACGAAAGAUGUUACGGUGAAUAGCCGUAGCAUUUGACUUCAAUCCCAGAGGAAGCCACGGCUAACUUCGUGCCAGCAGCCGCGGUAAGACGAAGGUGGCGAGCGUUACUCGGUGUUACUGGGCUUAAAACGUCCGUAGGCGGCUUGGUAAGUCGGAAGUUAAAGCCUCUGGCUCAACCAGAGACCUGCUUCCGAUACUGCCAAGCUCGAGGGAGAGAGAGGCCAGUGGAAUUCCCGGUGUAGCGGUGAAAUGCGUUGAUAUCGGGAGGAACGCCAAUGGCGAAAGCAACUGGCUGGCUUAUCCCUGACGCUGAUGGACGAAAGCUAGGGGAGCGAACCGGAUUAGAUACCCGGGUAGUCCUAGCCGUAAACGGUGGGCACUAGGUGUGGGAACUGCUGAUGGUUACCGUGCCGCAGCGAAAGCGUUAAGUGCCCUGCCUGGGGAGUACGGCCGCAAGGUUGAAACUCAAAGGAAUUGGCGGGGGCCCACACAAGCGGUGGAGGAUGUUGCUUAAUUCGAAGCAACGCGAAGAACCUUACCCAGGCUUGACAUGCAGGAUGUAGGGCUCUGAAAGGAGUCUCCAACGGUAUCCAAUCCGUAACCUGCACAGGUGUUGCAUGGCUGUCGUCAGCUCGUGUCGUGAGAUGUUGGGUUAAGUCCUAUAACGAGCGAAACCCUUACCCUCAGUUGCCAUCAGAUUACGCUGGGCACUCUGCGGGGACUGCCCGCGUUAAGCGGGAGGAAGGUGGGGACGACGUCAAGUCAUCAUGGCCCUUAAGCCUGGGGCUGCAAACGUCCUACAAUGGCCGGUACAAAGGGAAGCGAAACCGUGAGGCGGAGCAAAUCCCCGAAAACCGGCCCCAGUUCAGAUUGCAGGCUGAAACCCGCCUGCAUGAAGUCGGAAUCGCUAGUAAUCGCGGAUCAGAAUGCCGCGGUGAAUAUGUUCCUGGGCCUUGCACACACCGCCCGUCAACUCAUCAAAGUUGGGAGUACCCGAAGUCGCUGUUCCAACCGCAAGGGGGAAGGCGCCGAAGGUAAACCUGAUGAUGAGGAGUAAGUCGUAACAAGGUAGCCGUACGGGAACGUGCGGCUGGAUCACCUCCUUUC
Molecule: ribosomal RNA, 1564 nt
Filed under: bacterium
Lineage: Bacteria
Description: bacterial SSU rRNA
Rfam family: Bacterial small subunit ribosomal RNA
Source: RNAcentral